This 433-nucleotide ribosomal RNA is filed under the name uncultured bacterium. Its description in RNAcentral is "partial 16S ribosomal RNA". It matches the Rfam family "Bacterial small subunit ribosomal RNA", at positions 29 to 507 of the family's 1533-position model. The record is from RNAcentral.
AACGAACGCUGGCGGCAUGCCUAACACAUGCAAGUCGAACGAGACCUUCGUGUCGAGUGGCGCACGGGUGCGUAACGCGUGGGAACCUGCCCUGAGGUUCGGAAUAACUUCCCGAAAGGGGUGCUAAUACCGGAUAAUGUCUUCGGACCAAAGAUUUAUCGCCUUUGGAUGGGCCCGCGUUGGAUUAGCUAGUUGGUAGGGUAAAAGCCUACCAAGGCGACGAUCCAUAGCUGGUCUGAGAGGAUGAUCAGCCACACUGGGACUGAGACACGGCCCAGACUCCUACGGGAGGCAGCAGUGGGGAAUAUUGGAAAAUGGGCGAAAGCAUGAUCCAGCAAUGCCGCGUGAGUGAUGAAGGCCUUAGGGUUGUAAAGCUCUUUUACCCGGGAUGAUAAUGACAGUACCGAGCGAAUAAGCCCCGGCUAACUCCGUG